Lucilia sericata (common green bottle fly) is the source of this 944-nucleotide long non-coding RNA. RefSeq lists it as uncharacterized. The transcript has 2 exons. The record is from RefSeq and is a predicted model, not a curated record. Lineage: Eukaryota; Metazoa; Arthropoda; Insecta; Diptera; Calliphoridae.
UUGGAAUGUGGUCACAAUUGGAAGAAGAAGAGAAGAACGAAAAAAAAAACAAAUCUGUGCUACUAUGCCUUUUUCUUAUAUUAAUAAUGCCUGCCAGCCGCCCGUUUGUUUGCCUUUGUAUGCGUUAGAGAAAUAUCGAUGGAAUCACUUUCGAGCCAUUACUUGAAGCGAUUCGUUCGUUCGUAUUAAAUGUUUACACACCAUUCAAAAAACUAUUAAAAAAAAAAACAAAAUAAAAACCUAGUUAAAAUUUUCAUUCAUUCUAUUAAGAAAACAAACAACAAUAACAAAAAACAACGCACUAAACGGUGGUGUUUCCCUAAAAAAAAAUUAAAGUGAGAUUGAAGAUACAAAUUGAUUUAAUAAAGUUGAAAGAAAUAUUUCUAAGAUAUUUUAUAUAAAAUUAUCAAAAAACAAAUUAAGCUUUGUGUGUGUUGGUGCAAUUUUGUUUCCAGCAACGAAUUAUUUUUUAAAAUAAAAACGGAAAUAAAACAAUUUCAUCACUUAAAAAAACAACAAUUUUCAAAAAAGAAGGAAAGAAAGAAAAUAAAAACAACAACUACAAAAUACAUUGUAUAUGUGUGUGUAUAUGUUAGUAUCAUACAAAAGUUUGCAUGUGUAUGUAACUUUAUUUAUCAUCUCAAUAAAAACAGAUAUAAAAAACUAAAAAAACAACAACAAACUAAUUUAAAAAUACUAUUAAAAAAAUAUAUAUAAAUAAAAAAGAACAACUUUAUAAACAAAAACAACUGCUGCUGCAUCGUCGUCAUCAACAUCAUUCUGUACAAAAACAAAAACAACAACGACUACAACUAUCUCAUUGUUGUUACGAAGAGUAGAUUUUGCAAAAAGCCACUAAUAAAAGCAACAAUAACAAAAAGUGAAAUAGAAUAAAAACAAAAACAAUUUCUCUUUAUCUUCUACUUCUAUUACAACAAACAACA